UUUAUGAUGGAAACGUAGAAGAGGAGACUGAUACAAUUCAUAUUUUCUCUUAAGUAUUGAAUGUUUUAGUAUGAUGUUACCAACUGUCUUUAUUAGUUUUUCUCUUUGUCAUGACUUGAAGUCUGGACCUCCAACUCCUAAACCCUUUAACCAGUUGAGCUACCUAUCCCACCUCGCUUUUUGGGUAGUACUUAACUUAAUAUAUGUAAUUGUCACUUGUUUUCUUAUUUUGAGUAAUUUGAAUGUUAAUUUUUAUCAUUAUCGAUUUUAGUUAUGUUUAUAUAUUGUGCAUUCAUAAAUUUAAUUUUUAAAUAACGUAUCGCAUCGGGAAUUUUGAAAAAAAUUUCGUAUCGCCGUAUCGGUAUCGUAUCACGUAUCAGGGCUUCAUAGCUACCAUUUGUCUGUCUGUCACUACAUCUCCAUAUUUUGAAUGUAGAAAUUUAAAAAAUUAGGUGCUCUAAAUCCUUCAAAUCGUAUAGAGGAAAAUAAGCAAUCUUGAUAUGAAAAAGAAGAACAAAAGAAGGACAAAACAUGGAGAGACCAAAGUCUUCAACUUACCCACACAAUAUUUUUAGCCAAGAUAAAAGUAUGAUGAAAGGUUCACACUUUAUCACCUCCACUAAAAUAUACACUUCAAACUUUAAAAAAUAUUGGUCACCACAAAAGACCAUGGAAAGACAGUGUAUAACAUUACAGUACACCUCGAGUCUUGUUCAAAAUGACGUGUGCAUUUUCUUUUUCCUGAAUCAAAGUAAUUUCAAUACUAAAGAUAAGAACAAACAAGUAUCACCUUCUUACCUAUAUGUCGGUUACAAGUACCGACGGAAUGAAUUUUCUGAA
Molecule: long non-coding RNA, 840 nt
Filed under: Trifolium pratense (red clover)
Lineage: Eukaryota; Viridiplantae; Streptophyta; Magnoliopsida; Fabales; Fabaceae
Description: long non-coding RNA (TPRA_LNC008680)
Source: RNAcentral